Molecule: ribosomal RNA, 465 nt
Filed under: uncultured bacterium
Lineage: Bacteria
Description: bacterial SSU rRNA
Rfam family: Bacterial small subunit ribosomal RNA
Source: RNAcentral
CCUACGGGCGGCAGCAGUGGCGAAUAUUGCACAAUGGGCGCAAGCCUGAUGCAGCCAUGCCGCGUGUGUGAAGAAGGCCUUCGGGUUGUAAAGCACUUUCAGCGGGGAGGAAGGCGGUGAGGUUAAUAACCUCACCGAUUGACGUUACCCGCGGAAGAAGCACCGGCUAACUCUGUGCCAGCAGCCGCGGUAAUACGGAGGGUGCAAGCGGUAAUCGGAAUUACUGGGCGUAAAGCGCACGCAGGCGGUCUGUCAAGUCGGAUGUGAAAUCCCCGGGCUCAACCUGGGAACUGCAUUCGAAACUGGCAGGCUAGAGUCUUGUAGAGGGGGGUAGAAUUCCAGGUGUAGCGGUGAAAUGCGUAGAGAUCUGGAGGAAUACCGGUGGCGAAGGCGGCCCCCUGGACAAAGACUGACGCUCAGGUGCGAAAGCGUGGGGAGCAAACAGGAUUAGAUACCCCAGUAGUC